Molecule: ribosomal RNA, 446 nt
Filed under: uncultured Curtobacterium sp.
Lineage: Bacteria; Bacillati; Actinomycetota; Actinomycetes; Micrococcales; Microbacteriaceae
Description: bacterial SSU rRNA
Rfam family: Bacterial small subunit ribosomal RNA
Source: RNAcentral
AGCAUGUGGUUUAAUUCGAAGCAACGCGAAGAACCUUACCAAGGCUUGACAUACACCGGUAACGCCCAGAGAUGGGUGCCCCUUUGUGGUCGGUGUACAGGUGGUGCAUGGUUGUCGUCAGCUCGUGUCGUGAGAUGUUGGGUUAAGUCCCGCAACGAGCGCAACCCUCGUCCUAUGUUGCCAGCGGGUCAUGCCGGGGACUCAUGGGAGACUGCCGGGGUCAACUCGGAGGAAGGUGGGGAUGACGUCAAAUCAUCAUGCCCCUUAUGUCUUGGGCUUCACGCAUGCUACAAUGGCCGGUACAAAGGGCUGCGAUACCGCGAGGUGGAGCGAAUCCCAGAAAGCCGGUCUCAGUUCGGAUUGGGGUCUGCAACUCGACCCCAUGAAGUCGGAGUCGCUAGUAAUCGCAGAUCAGCAACGCUGCGGUGAAUACGUUCCCGGGCCUU